This 497-nucleotide ribosomal RNA is filed under the name uncultured bacterium. RNAcentral describes it as "partial 16S ribosomal RNA". It matches the Rfam family "Bacterial small subunit ribosomal RNA", at positions 28 to 507 of the family's 1533-position model. The record is from RNAcentral.
GACGAACGCUGGCGGCGUGCCUAAUACAUGCCAGUUGAGCGAUGAAGAUUGGUGCUUGCACCAAUUUGAAGAGCAGCGAACGGGUGAGUAACGCGUGGGGAAUCUGCCUUUGAGCGGGGGACAACAUUUGGAAACGAAUGCUAAUACCGCAUAACAACUUUAAACAUAAGUUUUAUGUUUGAAAGAUGCAAUUGCAUCACUCAAAGAUGAUCCCGCGUUGUAUUAGCUAGUUGGUGAGGUAAAGGCUCACCAAGGCGAUGAUACAUAGCCGACCUGAGAGGGUGAUCGGCCACAUUGGGACUGAGACACGGCCCAAACUCCUACGGGAGGCAGCAGUAGGGAAUCUUCGGCAAUGGACGAAAGUCUGACCGAGCAACGCCGCGUGAGUGAAGAAGGUUUUCGGAUCGUAAAACUCUGUUGGUAGAGAAGAACGUUGGUGAGAGUGGAAAGCUCAUCAAGUGACGGUAACUACCCAGAAAGGGACGGCUAACUACGUG